Molecule: transfer RNA, 75 nt
Filed under: Lacrimispora sphenoides
Lineage: Bacteria; Bacillati; Bacillota; Clostridia; Lachnospirales; Lachnospiraceae
Description: [Clostridium] sphenoides tRNA-Val(gac)
Rfam family: tRNA
About the family: Transfer RNA (tRNA) molecules are approximately 80 nucleotides in length. Their secondary structure includes four short double-helical elements and three loops (D, anti-codon, and T loops).
Source: RNAcentral
UGGAGACAUAGCUCAGCUGGGAGAGCAUUUGCUUGACGUGUAAAGGGUCGCAGGUUCGAGCCCUGUUGUCUCCAU